RNAcentral lists this ribosomal RNA (405 nucleotides) under uncultured prokaryote. RNAcentral's name for it is "bacterial SSU rRNA". It matches the Rfam family "Bacterial small subunit ribosomal RNA", at positions 355 to 774 of the family's 1533-position model. The record is from RNAcentral.
UGGGGAAUAUUGGGCAAUGGGCGCAAGCCUGACCCAGCAACGCCGCGUGAAGGAAGAAGGCUUUCGGGUUGUAAACUUCUUUUGGCAGGGACGAAAAAAAUGACGGUACCUGCAGAAUAAGCUCCGGCUAACUACGUGCCAGCAGCCGCGGUAAUACGUAGGGAGCAAGCGUUAUCCGGAUUUACUGGGUGUAAAGGGCGCGUAGGCGGGAAUGCAAGUCAGAUGUGAAAUCUGGGGGCUCAACCCCCAAACUGCAUUUGAAACUGUAUUUCUUGAGUGAUGGAGAGGCAAGUGGAAUUCCUAGUGUAGCGGUGAAAUGCGUAGAUAUUAGGAGGAACACCAGUGGCGAAGGCGACUUGCUGGACAUUAACUGACGCUGAGGCGCGAAAGCGUGGGGAGCAAACA